RNAcentral lists this ribosomal RNA (465 nucleotides) under uncultured bacterium. RNAcentral's name for it is "partial 16S ribosomal RNA". It matches the Rfam family "Bacterial small subunit ribosomal RNA", at positions 28 to 506 of the family's 1533-position model. The record is from RNAcentral.
GAUGAACGCUGGCGGCGUGCUUAACACAUGCAAGUCGAACGAUGAAGCCCAGCUUGCUGGGUGGAUUAGUGGCGAACGGGUGAGUAACACGUGAGUAACCUGCCCUUAACUCUGGGAUAAGCCUGGGAAACUGGGUCUAAUACCGGAUAGGAGCGCCUACCGCAUGGUGGGUGUUGGAAAGAUUUAUCGGUUUUGGAUGGACUCGCGGCCUAUCAGCUUGUUGGUGAGGUAAUGGCUCACCAAGGCGACGACGGGUAGCCGGCCUGAGAGGGUGACCGGCCAAACUGGGAAUGAGACAAGGCCCAGAAUCCUACGGGAGGGAGGAGUGGGGAAUAUUGCACAAAGGGCGAAAGCCUGAUGCAGCGACGCCGCGUGAGGGAAGACGGCCUUCGGGUGGUAAACCUCUUUCAGUAGGGAAGAAGCGAAAGUGACGGUACCUGCAGAAGAAGCACCGGCUAACUACGU